CCGGUUGCGGUCCGGCCGGUUACGGUCCGGCCGGUUACGGUCCGGCCGGUUGCGGUCCGGCCGGUUGCGGUCCGGCCGCCCGGUC
This 85-nucleotide transfer RNA is filed under the name Streptomyces fradiae. Its description in RNAcentral is "tRNA-Arg". The record is from RNAcentral. Lineage: Bacteria; Bacillati; Actinomycetota; Actinomycetes; Kitasatosporales; Streptomycetaceae.